This 1778-nucleotide long non-coding RNA is filed under the name Capsicum annuum. RNAcentral describes it as "long non-coding RNA (CANN_LNC010579)". The record is from RNAcentral. Lineage: Eukaryota; Viridiplantae; Streptophyta; Magnoliopsida; Solanales; Solanaceae.
UUCAAAAGUUUUUUUUAUUUUUUUUAAUUUUGUGCCAAGUUAAAAUAGUAAUUCUUUUUUAAAUGGAGGGAGUGUGUAUAUAUAUAUUAGUGUGUGUGAGAGAGAGAGAGAGUGAUAGGGAUAUUUUAGUCAUGAAAAAAGUAAUUUUCUAUUUUUUUAUUUUUUUAUUUUUUUAAAUAGAAAUUUUCUGCUCUUGUCUUGUAUGUGAAAAAAUGGGUGGUUCUUUGCGUAUGUAUAAUGACUAGACAUCUUAAUAUAAUGAUAGUGAAGAGUAGGUAUAAUAUUUUUCGCAUUGAUAAUUCUAGUGAUUAAGUGUUUUAAAAUUAAAAUUGACUUUUAAGCACUUUUGAAAUGUUUGGAUGUAUUCUAAAAAGUGUUUAUGGAAUUUAAAUUUUAAGUUAAAAUGUUAAAAAUAAAUUAGGAUUUCUAAUUUAUGGCUUAUAAACCAAAAACUAAUCCAAAAAGGUACGGAAUUUUAUUUGCUAGGAUGAACUAAUUUAUUUUUUUUAAGAAAAAAAUAAUAGGAUAGGAGAUGUGGAAAAUGUGAAAGGGAAUUACAUGAUGGAAAAUGCAAUCCUCAUAAUUCAUAUAGACAAGCAACAAAAGAUUUUGAAUUUUUAGUUUGAAAGUAUUUUGGGAUGCAAUUAAAAGGGCUUUUUGUUGAUAUGUCUUAUUCUAUAUGUUUAUGCUGAAAUAUAUUCUAAGAUUUAAAAUGAGAAAAUAAAUAAAGACCUCUGAUUUUGUCAAGUUUUUCAAAAAGAUAUCUAAAUUAUACUUUCAAUUUAUUACCUCACGAAUCUUACUAAAUCAUUGCAAAUACACUAUUUUUUGUUGCAUUUCAAUCACAAAAUAGAGAGUGUAAUCAUGCACCAAUUACAGUUUGCCAUGUGUUAAAUAUUUAUUUUUUAUUUAUAUUUUUCUUAUUUUAUUGACUCUAAUUUUAUUUUAUUUUUUUCUCUUCUCCUCUAUUGUUAACAUCCUCAUCUUUUCACAAUACACUAUGCAUGCACAGAAUACUCGAUUCUUUUUUACUUUUUAACACACAAAAAUAUAUAUAAGAAAUGACUCUUGAGUGCACCGUUAUCGAUAAUUAUUGUUUCUUGUCUAUAUUACUCAUCACUAUUCGAAAUAAUAUUUCUUAGUCUUAGUUAAAUGAUAAGUACUAUACACAGAAAUCGAAAUUCAGCAAAAGUUUAAGGAGAGGAAAUAGGGAAGAAGAAAUCUGAAGGAGAAGAAAUAGGGGAAAAAAAUCGAGUGACACCAUUAAUGGAGAAGAAGAAAAAGAAGAAACAAAUAAAAAAGAUAAAGAAUGAAGAAAAACACCAUUAAUGGAGAUUAAUGGAGAAGAAGAAGGAAGAAGAAGAAGAAACAAAUGAAAAGGAUAGAAAAUGAAGGAAAAAAAAACUAAAAUGCAAAAUUUAAAAAGUGGGUCUUUUUUAUUACACGUGGCACAUUUUAAUUUGUUGGUUCAAUAUUUUUUUUCAUUCAAAAUCUAAAAUAUUAAGGAAAGCUAACAUAAAUAUUUAUAUUUUAACUUAUCAUAUUCACAUAGAUACUCAUCUUUACAAAAUAAUUAUAAAAAAUCUAAUUAAUUAUUUAUUUUCGUUGGAUACAUGGGGAGCUAAUUAUUUAUUUUAAAAAAUUCAAAAUUAGAAAAAGAUUAUUGAAAAUUAAUUAUUUAUAUUUAUAAGCAAAAAUGUAUUUUUAUUGGAUAUAUUAUGUAUUACGACAGACUAAAUUUAAAGAAAAGUAUUGAAAGUUUAUUAUGUAUCUUUACG